Molecule: ribosomal RNA, 472 nt
Filed under: uncultured bacterium
Lineage: Bacteria
Description: partial 16S ribosomal RNA
Rfam family: Bacterial small subunit ribosomal RNA
Source: RNAcentral
GACGAACGCUGGCGGCGUGCUUAACACAUGCAAGUCGAACGCUGAAGCUUGGUGCUUGCACUGGGUGGAUGAGUGGCGAACGGGCGAGUAAUACGUGAGUAACCUGCCCUUGACUCUGGGAUAAGCCUGGGAAACUGGGUCUAAUACUGGAUACGACAUGUCACCGCAUGGUGGUGUGUGGAAAGGGUUUUACUGGUUUUGGAUGGGCUCACGGCCUAUCAGCUUGUUGGUGGGGUAAUGGCUCACCAAGGCGACGACGGGUAGCCGGCCUGAGAGGGUGACCGGCCACCCUGGGACUGAGACACGGCCCAGACUCCUACGGGAGGCAGCAGUGGGGAAUAUUGCACAAUGGGCGGAAGCCUGAUGCAGCGACGCCGCGUGAGGGAUGACGGCCUUCGGGUUGUAAACCUCUUUCAGCACGGAAGAAGCGAAAGUGACGGUACGUGCAGAAGAAGCGCCGGCUAACUACGUG